GCCCGGAUGGCGAAACUGGUAGACGCAAGGGACUUAAAAUCCCUCGAUGGCAACAUCGUGCCGGUUCGAUUCCGGCUCCGGGCACCA
RNAcentral lists this transfer RNA (87 nucleotides) under Pseudomonas sp. RNAcentral's name for it is "tRNA-Leu". It matches the Rfam family "tRNA". From Rfam's summary of the family: Transfer RNA (tRNA) molecules are approximately 80 nucleotides in length. Their secondary structure includes four short double-helical elements and three loops (D, anti-codon, and T loops). Further hydrogen bonds mediate the characteristic L-shaped molecular structure. tRNAs have two regions of fundamental functional importance: the anti-codon, which is responsible for specific mRNA codon recognition, and the 3' end, to which the tRNAs corresponding amino acid is attached (by aminoacyl-tRNA synthetases). tRNAs cope with the degeneracy of the genetic code in two manners: having more than one tRNA (with a specific anti-codon) for a particular amino acid; and 'wobble' base-pairing, i.e. permitting non-standard base-pairing at the 3rd anti-codon position. The record is from RNAcentral. Lineage: Bacteria; Pseudomonadati; Pseudomonadota; Gammaproteobacteria; Pseudomonadales; Pseudomonadaceae. RNAcentral also lists the same sequence under 6 other names.